Molecule: ribosomal RNA, 468 nt
Filed under: uncultured bacterium
Lineage: Bacteria
Description: partial 16S ribosomal RNA
Rfam family: Bacterial small subunit ribosomal RNA
Source: RNAcentral
GACGAACGCUGGCGGCGUGCUUAACACAUGCAAGUCGAACGGAAAGGCCCUGCGUUUGUGGGGUUCUCGAUUGGCGAACGGGUGAGUAACACGUGUGUAACCUGCCCUUCUCUUUGGGGUAACUUCAGGAAACUGGGGCUAAUACCGGAUAGGAUCUCCUGCUCCAUGGUGGGGGUUGGAAAGUUUCGGCGGUUGGGGAUGGACUCGCGGCUUAUCAGCUUGUUGGUGGGGUAGUGGCUGACCAAGGCUUUGACGGGUAGCCGGCCUGAGAGGGUGACCGGGCACAAUGGGACUGCGAGACGGACCAGACUCGUACGGGAGGCAACAGUGGGGAAUAUGGCACAGUGGGCGGGAGCGUGAUACAGCGACGCCGCGUGCGGGAUGACGUCCUUCGGGGUGUGAACAGCUUUCGCCUGUGACGAAGCGGGAGUGACGGUACUGGGUAAAGAAGCACCGGCUAACUACGUG